UGAGGGAAAGCUGCAAAGUACUCUGAAGAGAGAGUUCAAAAGGACGUGAAGCCGUCUGCAGGGAAACGGGUGAGACCGCACGGUAGACCCGCGGCGGAUUCAGCUCGGGGAGAAAUCUCCGGGUGCACUUCCGCGCCUGCGGGUCGCGCAGGGCCCGACUCUGCGGCCGUCUGAAGCCCGGCGAGGAGGUGACGGGGUUCUUCGGGACUCCGAGUUUAACUCGUCGGCGCGGAGACCGGCUGCGGGGUCGAGGAACGUCCAUCUGUCUUUGACGCGUGGG
This 280-nucleotide ribosomal RNA is filed under the name Serratosagitta tasmanica. RNAcentral's name for it is "partial 28S ribosomal RNA". The record is from RNAcentral. Lineage: Eukaryota; Metazoa; Chaetognatha; Sagittoidea; Aphragmophora; Sagittidae.